GAAGAGGGCUGGGUGGGAACUAUACACACAGCCACUGACUGGAGGGGAGAAUGCUUUUGUUGUGUUAGUCAGUCUGCUCCAGGAGGACCCUGAGGAAGCAGCAGGCUGAGCUGCUGGGGAUUUGGGAAGGCCGCACAUACUUUGAGGAGUUCUGGUUUGAAUACCCCUGCACCUAAAGCCACACCUACCAAAAGAGUUACAUUGUAGCAGAGGGAGAAAAGGCUGCAAGAAGAGGUAACUUUUGAAAGGGAGAAUAAUAUGCUUGGCUGGAAUAACUUUAAUUGGAUGCUGUAUCCACAUGCUUCCUGCUGGUCUGGAAUGGUUCCUACAUAAAUCUACUCACAGCAAUGAUCAUAAGAAGAAGCUAACAUUCCCUUAAUGAUCCAGAAUACUUCCAAUAGAAGACUUCCAUGGAAGCGGGGAGAGGGCUAGACAAAUUUGCAUAGACAGACAAACUACUGGUCUGUCCGAAACCAACUUACUUUCCAUAGCAGGUGAGGAUAAGAGGACCACUGUCAACGUUCUUCUGUCAACGGCAAUAAGCAGCAGAGCAAUGGACAAAGAGGUCACCAUUUGAAGAGGGAAAGCAGUCUGUGCCUUUGGGACACAUAGUUGAAAUAUGGAUUGAUGUCUUGCCCUGUGACAAAAGUGCUCUUCCGUAAAGGAGUCUACCCACCUUACAAUCACUGCUCCUUAUAAGGAGCUGCGAAACAGAAUUGUGAAAUAAGGCUAUGGUAUCUGCGUACAGCAUGGAAUGGAGAAAUAAUCUGUAAUUGAAAGAGACCUCAUUUACAUUUUCAAUCCCAAAAUCUUGUUGAAUAAGAGACUGCCUUUUGUUAAAGAGAAAAUGACCAUGGUACAGGUUUCUGUAGCACUCUUUAGAAAAUGU
This is a long non-coding RNA of Hemicordylus capensis (graceful crag lizard), 889 nucleotides long. RefSeq lists it as uncharacterized. The record is from RefSeq and is a predicted model, not a curated record. Lineage: Eukaryota; Metazoa; Chordata; Lepidosauria; Squamata; Cordylidae. The transcript has 8 exons.